RNAcentral lists this ribosomal RNA (468 nucleotides) under uncultured bacterium. RNAcentral's name for it is "partial 16S ribosomal RNA". It matches the Rfam family "Bacterial small subunit ribosomal RNA", at positions 28 to 507 of the family's 1533-position model. The record is from RNAcentral.
GACGAACGCUGGCGGCGUGCUUAACACAUGCAAGUCGAACGGAAAGGCCCUGCUUUUGUGGGGUGCUCGAGUGGCGAACGGGUGAGUAACACGUGAGUAACCUGCCCUUGACUUUGGGAUAACUUCAGGAAACUGGGGCUAAUACCGGAUAGGAGCUCCUGCUGCAUGGUGGGGGUUGGAAAGUUUCGGCGGUUGGGGAUGGACUCGCGGCUUAUCAGCUUGUUGGUGGGGUAGUGGCUUACCAAGGCUUUGACGGGUAGCCGGCCUGAGAGGGUGACCGGGCACAAUGGGCCUGAGAUACGGCCCAGACUCGUACGGGAGGCAGCAGUGGGGAAUAUUGCACAAUGGGCGGAAGCCUGAUGCAGCAACGCCGCGUGCGGGAUGACGGCCUUCGGGUUGUAAACCGCUUUCGCCUGUGACGAAGCGUGAGUGACGGUAAUGGGUAAAGAAGCACCGGCUAACUACGUG